This is a long non-coding RNA of Pundamilia nyererei, 444 nucleotides long. RefSeq lists it as uncharacterized. NCBI's taxonomy places the organism in Eukaryota, Metazoa, Chordata, Actinopteri, Cichliformes, Cichlidae. The transcript is spliced from 5 exons. The record is from RefSeq and is a predicted model, not a curated record.
UGAAGGGGCAGGCAUCUGACAGUGACACAUUUUGCUGGAGAAGAGACAGAAGUUGGUCACUGUUGUGUACAUACAGACCAGCUGUGCUCCGAAGAGAUGCUACUGAGAAUGUGUGCGUGUUCAUGAAGUACUAGCACAUCCAAAGCAUUGGGCACGAGCUCCACGACCAUCUGGCUGCCUGCUUGUGGAUUCAUUCAUAAGAUGUGGCCAACUGAGGGAGCGAAAGAGAGAGAAUCAGCCAACAUCCCUCUCCUCCUCCCCCUCCUCCUCUUCCCCUUCACCGCGGCCUCUUGCACAUGAAAGGGACCGUGCAAGGCCAAUGGAUGGCCGGUGGGUCAUCCGUGUCUGGACUCUUAAGGCACUCGGCAGCUGGAAAAGGCAGUUGCUUCUCCCAGGUGAUUUCCGGACGCGGCUUUCCAGACACUUCACACAGGAAGGUGGCUG